This 270-nucleotide ribosomal RNA is filed under the name uncultured archaeon. Its description in RNAcentral is "partial 16S ribosomal RNA". It matches the Rfam family "Archaeal small subunit ribosomal RNA", at positions 477 to 747 of the family's 1478-position model. The record is from RNAcentral.
CAGCACCUCAAGUGGUCAGGAUGAUUAUUGGGCCUAAAGCAUCCGUAGCCGGCUCUGUAAGUUUUCGGUUAAAUCUGUAUGCUCAACAUACAGGCUGCCGGGAAUACUGCAGAGCUAGGGAGUGGGAGAGGUAGACGGUACUCGGUAGGAAGGGGUAAAAUCCUUUGAUCUAUUGAUGACCACCUGUGGCGAAGGCGGUCUACCAGAACACGUCCGACGGUGAGGGACGAAAGCUAGGGGAGCAAACCGGAUUAGAUACCCGAGUAGUCC